CCACCGCAAAGUGCUGCACGUAGUGCGGGGGCCGAGAAAGCGACAGCGCAGCUACACACGUAGAAGGACGGAAAAAUCCUGCACGGACCCGGGUUCGAUUCCCGGCAUCUCCACAA
RNAcentral lists this transfer-messenger RNA (116 nucleotides) under Actinomycetota bacterium. RNAcentral's name for it is "Actinobacteria bacterium partial transfer-messenger RNA". It matches the Rfam family "transfer-messenger RNA", at positions 255 to 374 of the family's 374-position model. Rfam says of the family: Bacterial tmRNA, also known as 10Sa RNA or SsrA, is named for its dual tRNA and mRNA-like properties. Its role is to liberate the mRNA from a stalled ribosome. Lineage: Bacteria; Bacillati; Actinomycetota. The record is from RNAcentral.